Molecule: long non-coding RNA, 255 nt
Filed under: Lathyrus oleraceus (garden pea)
Lineage: Eukaryota; Viridiplantae; Streptophyta; Magnoliopsida; Fabales; Fabaceae
Description: Pisum sativum (pea) long non-coding RNA (PSAT_LNC005621)
Source: RNAcentral
AAAGAAGAAAAGGUGCAUAACGUAUGGUUGUAAGGUGUCCAUGAAGGUCAACUCAAAGAUGCGAAUUGUAAGUAAGAAAAGAGGAGGGUCCGGUUAUAGAUUGAGUUGGAUUACAAACUUUUUCCAAAGCAAAAUUAGUGAUGAUUCGAAAGAAAGUUUCCAAUGUAUUUGGUUUUGUCACCUUACUUUAUGUUGUGUCCCUUAUUGAGAAUCCUUAUUGUGGGUUACCAACUAGAAGGAUAUGUGACAUUCAAC